Molecule: ribosomal RNA, 179 nt
Filed under: uncultured bacterium
Lineage: Bacteria
Description: partial 16S ribosomal RNA
Rfam family: Bacterial small subunit ribosomal RNA
Source: RNAcentral
GACUCCAUGAAGCUGGAUUCGCUAGUAAUCGCGCAUCAGCCACGGCGCGGUGAAUACGUUCCCGGGCCUUGUACACACCGCCCGUCAAGCCAUGGAAGCCGGGAGUGCCUGAAGUACGCGACCGCAAGGAGCGUCCUAAGGUAAAACCGGUGACUGGGGCUAAGUCGUAACAAGGUAUC